CAGCUCCAAUAGCGUAUAUUAAAGUUGUUGCAGUUAAAAAGCUCGUAGUUGGAUCUAGGGACGCGCAUUUAUUUUUAAGCAUUUGUAUUAUCGGGUCAAACUGAUGAUUGCAAGUGUUGCGGGCUCGGUCCGUUGGUCAUCCCACAAGGGUGGCUAGCGUGUUAACCGGCCCGCCCGUCCCCUCCUUCUGGAUUCCCGUUCCUGCUAUUGAGUUAGUGGGGACGUCACAGGGAGCUUAUCAUUGCCUUCACGGGCCAGUGGUAAGUUUCUGGGGCCCAGAUCGUUUACCGUGAAAAAAUUAGAGUGUUCAAAGCAGGCAGAUUCAAUUUUCUGCCACCGAAUACAUUAGCAUGGGAUAAUGGAAUAGGACCCUGUCCUCCUCUCUUCAGUUGGUUAAUUUACGUGUGAGGAUCAGGGUAAUGAUUAAUAGGGAUAGUUGGGGGCAUUAAUAUUUAAUUGUCAGAGGUGAAAUUCUUGGAUUUAUGAAAGAUUAACUUCUGCGAAAGCAUCUGCCAAGGAUGUUUUCAUUAAUCAAGAACGAAAGUUAGGGGAUCGAAGACGAUCAGAUACCGUCGUAGUCUUAACCAUAAACGAUGCCGACCAGCGAUUAGGAGACGUUGAAUACAAAACACCACUUUAUAUAAUUCAGUACAUGGUCAGCAAUGGYUGUGUAUUGUUUGUAUAAAGUCCAGGUGAA
Molecule: ribosomal RNA, 697 nt
Filed under: Acanthamoeba sp. AcL-ES7
Lineage: Eukaryota; Discosea; Longamoebia; Acanthamoebidae
Description: SSU rRNA
Rfam family: Eukaryotic small subunit ribosomal RNA
Source: RNAcentral